GAUCAUGGCUCAGGAUGAACGCUAGCUACAGGCUUAACACAUGCAAGUCGAGGGGAAACGACAUCGAAAGCUUGCUUUUGAUGGGCGUCGACCGGCGCACGGGUGAGUAACGCGUAUCCAACCUGCCCAUCACUUGGGAAUAACCUUGCGAAAGUAAGACUAAUACCCAAUGAUAUCCCACGAAGGCAUCCGAAUGGGAUUAAAGAUUUAUCGGUGAUGGAUGGGGAUGCGUCUGAUUAG
Molecule: ribosomal RNA, 240 nt
Filed under: uncultured bacterium
Lineage: Bacteria
Description: partial 16S ribosomal RNA
Rfam family: Bacterial small subunit ribosomal RNA
Source: RNAcentral